AUUGAACGCUGGCGGCAGGCUUAACACAUGCAAGUCGAGCGAGCGGCGGACGGGUGAGUAAUGUCUGGGAAACUGCCUGAUGGAGGGGGAUAACUACUGGAAACGGUAGCUAAUACCGCAUAACAUCAGAUGUGCCCAGAGGGGAUUAGCUAGUAGGUGGGGUAAUGGCUCACCUAGGAGACGAUCCCUAGCUGGUCGGAGAGGAUGACCAUCAACACAUGAACUGAGACACGGUCCAGACGCCUACGGCAGGCAGCAGUGGGGAAUAUUGCACAAGGGGCGCAAGCCUGAUGCAGCCAUGCCGCGUGUGUGAAGAAGGCCUUCGGUUUGUAAAGCACUUUCAGCGAGGAGGCGUUACUCGCAGAAGAAGCACCGGCUAACUCCGUGCCAGCAGCCGCGGUAAUAC
Molecule: ribosomal RNA, 406 nt
Filed under: uncultured bacterium
Lineage: Bacteria
Description: partial 16S ribosomal RNA
Rfam family: Bacterial small subunit ribosomal RNA
Source: RNAcentral